GACGAACGCUGGCGGCGUGCUUAACACAUGCAAGUCGAACGGAAAGGCCCUGCUUUUGUGGGGUGCUCGAGUGGCGAACGGGUGAGUAACACGUGAGUAACCUGCCCUUGACUUUGGGAUAACUUCAGGAAACUGGGGCUAAUACCGGAUAGGAGCUCCUGCUGCAUGGUGGGGGUUGGAAAGUUUCGGCGGUUGGGGAUGGACUCGCGGCUUAUCAGCUUGUUGGUGGGGUAGUGGCUUACCAAGGCGUUGACGGGUAGCCGGCCUGAGAGGGUGAACGGCCACAUUGGGACUGAGAUACGGCCCAGAGUCCUACGGGAGGCAGUAGUGGGGAAUAUUGCACAAUGGGCGGAAGCCUGAUGAAGCAACGCUGCGUGCGGGAAGACGGCCUUCGGGUUGUAAACCGCUUUAGCCUGUGACGAAGCGUGAGUGACGGUAAUGGGUAAAGAAGCACCGGCUAACUACGUG
This 468-nucleotide ribosomal RNA is filed under the name uncultured bacterium. RNAcentral's name for it is "partial 16S ribosomal RNA". It matches the Rfam family "Bacterial small subunit ribosomal RNA", at positions 28 to 507 of the family's 1533-position model. The record is from RNAcentral.